AUGAUCACAAACACUCUCCAUUCCAUCUCAGAUCAAAAUCAAUAUAGAUUCAACAAUUCGCAAGAGAACACACGCGCAGAAAUGGCGUCCUCCCUCUGCGCCCUCCUCCUCCUCGCCGCCUUCGCGUGCCACUGCCAUGCCGCGGCGGCGGUGUACAGGCGGCCCCGCGCCAUCGGCGUCAACUACGGCAACCUCGGCGACGACCUCCCCACGGCGGCGCGCUCCGUCAAGCUCCUCCGCAAGGCGAACGCGGGCGCCGUCAAGCUCUACAACGCCGACCAGCGCAUCCUGCACGCCCUGGCCGGGACGGGCAUCCCGGUCUCCGUCAUGGUGCCGAACGACAUCGUCCCCUAUCUGGCCGACUCCCGCGCCGCCGCACACAAGUGGGUGGACAACAACCUCAGGCGGCACCCCCGGGUGCGGGUGAGGUACCUGCUCGUCGGCAACGAGUUGCUCUCCUACCCCGCCCUCGCGGCGUCCACGUGGGGCAAGAUCGUGCCGGCGAUGAAGAACCUCCGCCACGCGCUCCACGCGAUCGGUCUCGGCCGCGUCAAGCUCGGGUCCCCGCUCGCCAUGGACGCGCUGGCGGCGUCCUACCCGCCCUCCGCCGGCGCGUUCCGCGAGGACAUCGCCGGCUCCGUCAUGCGGCCGCUGCUCGACUUCCUCAACCACACUCGCUCCUACUACUUCGUCGACGCGUACCCGUACUUCCCUUGGGCGGCCAAUCAGAAGGACAUAUCGCUGGACUACGCGCUCUUCGAGGGCAACGCGAGCAGCCACUACGUCGAUCCGGCCACGCGGCUCACCUACACCAACCUGCUCGACCAAAUGCUCGACGCCUGCAUAGCCGCGAUGGACAAGCUGGGGUACGGCGGCGUGAAGCUGGCCAUCUCGGAGACGGGCUGGCCGAACGCCGGCGACCCGGGCCAGGCCGGCGCCAACGUGCGCAAUGCCGCGCUCUACAACCGCCACCUUGCCCGUCGGAUGCACAAAAAACUCGGCACGCCGGCGCGACCGAGGUCCAAAAUGCCGGCCUUCGUCUUCGCGCUGUACAACGAGGACUUGAAGCCGGGGGCGGGCACUGAGCGGCACUGGGGGAUGUUCUACCCGAACGGUACGUGGGUGUACCAGAUCGACCUCACCGGCAGGCGGACGGCGCGCUCCUACCCGCCGCUGCCACCGCCGGAUGACCAGACCGGCAAGCUCGAGUGGUGCGUCCUGGCCGCCGGCGGCAAGCCGUUGAACGAGACGGCGGUGGCCCUCGCCCUGAAUUACGCCUGCGGGCAAGGGACGGGGACGUGCGCCGCCAUCCAGCCCGGCGGUGCGUGCUACGAGCCCAACACCGUCGACGCGCAUGCAAGCUACGCGAUCAAUGCGUACUGGCAGCAGUUCAAGGCCAAGGGAGGCAGUUGUUACUUCAAUGGCCUUGCAGUGAAGACUAACAAAGAUCCAAGCUAUUUGUCAUGCAAGUUCCCCAGCUAUUAG
This 1485-nucleotide ribosomal RNA is filed under the name Triticum aestivum (bread wheat). Its description in RNAcentral is "partial small subunit ribosomal RNA". Lineage: Eukaryota; Viridiplantae; Streptophyta; Magnoliopsida; Poales; Poaceae. The record is from RNAcentral.